UAACAACAGGCCAGACACGAUUGCUCCAUUAUGCCUGGACAGAUAUUCUCCAAGGAGAGUCUUUUACUCACAAGCCAGAUUCUUGUCUAUCCAUGUGUUGGACAGCUGAGAAUACAGCAAGCUGUUGAGUAAGAGGUUCAGAUAUUCAAGGAGGCCAAACUCUUAAAAUAUCAACAGAAGCAUAUCUUAAUUUUCUUAAAUUAUCUGAGGGCUGUGGAAAAAGGAGGCAGGGAAGAAAAGAGGGAUUUCCAGGAAUCUCAAAUAAUGUUGGU
Molecule: long non-coding RNA, 272 nt
Filed under: Coturnix japonica (Japanese quail)
Lineage: Eukaryota; Metazoa; Chordata; Aves; Galliformes; Phasianidae
Description: lncRNA (ENSCJPG00005011642.1)
Source: RNAcentral